UGGUGGGAAAACACCUAAAGUCAACACGGAGAGGUACUGGAAAUAGCAUUCAGAUGGUGGUGGGAUAUCCAGUGCGUCGGAUGGAAGCACAUGAAAGGUUCAAGCAGAAACAAGGGUCGGUCAGAUGGUUCCCAGGAUGGAUUUUUUUACCCCAGUGCGGCUUGUACUUUUCUUGACAGAAAUCAAAGACUGCAAGUGUAUCCUGCCUUGACUGCUCGUAUGACUAGUGACAAGCUGCUGCUAAAGUGACUGCAAUGUUCGCUACUGAAAGCUUCAGGCAACCUACAGCAGAUUCAAUCACUGGUUCUCUGCACUAACAAUGAAGCAAAGUCUUGAAAACAGCUUUUCAAUCGGU
Molecule: long non-coding RNA, 355 nt
Organism: Calidris pugnax (ruff)
Lineage: Eukaryota; Metazoa; Chordata; Aves; Charadriiformes; Scolopacidae
Exons: 3
Source: RefSeq, a predicted model, not a curated record